UGAUUAGCUAGUUGGUGAGGUAAAGGCUCACCAAGGCGACGAUCAGUAGCUGGUCUGAGAGGACGAUCAGCCACACUGGGACAGAGACACGGCCCAGACUCCUACGGGAGGCAGCAGUGGGGAAUUUUGGACAAUGGGGGCAACCCUGAUCCAGCAAUGCCGCGUGUGUGAAGAAGGCCUUCGGGUUGUAAAGCACUUUUGUCCGGAAAG
This 210-nucleotide ribosomal RNA is filed under the name uncultured bacterium. RNAcentral describes it as "partial 16S ribosomal RNA". It matches the Rfam family "Bacterial small subunit ribosomal RNA", at positions 238 to 447 of the family's 1533-position model. The record is from RNAcentral.